Molecule: ribosomal RNA, 107 nt
Filed under: Cavia porcellus (domestic guinea pig)
Lineage: Eukaryota; Metazoa; Chordata; Mammalia; Rodentia; Caviidae
Source: RNAcentral
GUCUACAGCCACACAACCCUGAAUGUGCCUGAUCUUGUCUGAUCUUGGAAGCUAAGCAGGGUCGGGGCUGGUUGGUACUUGGAUGGAAAAAAACUCAGCUGAAGGAA